Molecule: long non-coding RNA, 521 nt
Organism: Lycium barbarum (goji berry)
Lineage: Eukaryota; Viridiplantae; Streptophyta; Magnoliopsida; Solanales; Solanaceae
Exons: 4
Source: RefSeq, a predicted model, not a curated record
GUAUUGAGGUCACUUUUGUUUUCCUUUAACCAAAUUAAACACUGAACUCUCUCUCUCUCUCUCUACUAAAUUCAUCACCCACUUCACUCUAUCUCUCUCUACUAAUUUCUACUUCACUUUGCACCCUAAUUAUCAUUGCUCUACUGAAUCUCGUAGCCGUUGUACUCAAUUCCAGCUCGAAGCAUUCUCAACUCUCAAACGCCUCAAUUCGUUGCUCGUCGAAAGCUCGAAGCAUUCUCAACUCUCAAACGCCUCAAUUCGUUGCUCGUCAAAAGGUGUCGAAAAUGAAGAAAGGGAAGGAGACGGUGAAGACGUUGAUCUUACUUGAGAAGAUCUUUUAUGAAGCUUUCUACAUGUUCUAAGAAUCUUUUUGCUAUCGAACAUUUUGAAACUUAUCCUAAAUCUUGAAAUGUAAAACUUAAUUAUGCAUUUUGGGUUGAACAUUUUGGUUUUACGGGUAUAUAUGUUGGAUUAGGAAUGUUGGAUAUUUUGGAUUAUGAAAAAUUGUGUUUUCUGAUUUA